UCGCUGUGUGUUAUAUGUGUCACACGGGACUGCCGGUCUUAAAGCCGGAGGAAGUGGGAGUGAUGUCAAGUCAGCAUGGCCUUUAUAUCCUGGGCUACACACACGCUACAAUGGCCAACACAAUAGGUUGCUAAGCCGCGAGGUGGCGCCAAUCCAUAAAGUUGGUCUCAGUUCAGAUUGUAGGCUGCAACCCGCCUGCAUGAAGAUGGAGUUGCUAGUAACCGCAGGUCAGCUAUACUGCGGUGAAUACGUUCCCGGGCUU
RNAcentral lists this ribosomal RNA (262 nucleotides) under uncultured Leptolinea sp. RNAcentral's name for it is "partial 16S ribosomal RNA". It matches the Rfam family "Bacterial small subunit ribosomal RNA", at positions 1105 to 1381 of the family's 1533-position model. The record is from RNAcentral. Lineage: Bacteria; Bacillati; Chloroflexota; Anaerolineae; Anaerolineales; Anaerolineaceae.